GACGCUGACCACACCCACUGAGGAAGACUGGCCUGGAGUGACAAACAUGCCAGACUACAAACCAACCUUCCCUAACUGGAGGACAAACCAGCUGGCCUCUGCGGUCAAACAGCUGGACAACACUGGUCUCGACAUCUUACAGCAAAUGUUGAUUUACGACCCUGCAUAUAGAAUCUCUGCCAAGAGGGCGCUGAACCAUACCUACUUUGCCAACUUGGACAAGUCCGGGCUUCCAGCAAACCUCACGGCGCCAACAUUUUGAUCUCUAGUCACAAAAGAUAACAAAUAUUGAACUUGGACCUCAUGAAUACACACAUGUAUUUGUCCGCCAGAUGAACAAAAAACAGGCACAGGGUUCCUAUUCAUGUGCUUAUGAUUGCAGGAAGAAGUUUUAUGCAAAUAUUGACUUUCCUGCGAUAUGGGAAAAAAAUAAUCAACAGGAAAAAUGUUUGAUAGUAAGUCAAAACUGUUCAGAAGCAAGAUGGUUCAACUUCAGGAUGUGCUUUUGUGCAUGUUGAGUGCCUAUUGACAUUUAUGUACUUUUAUGCAUGACAGUGCUGUAUGGAACAGUGAAGUGAUAAAGUCAUUUAUAGCAUUUCCAUUGGAGACCAUGGAUAAUAUGUAUAUAGUGUGAAGAAAGGUGACCUCAUGGAUUUUAUCAUAUCUUGGAUCAUUCCUCAGUUGUAGGAGGUGUUGUGUAAAAUCGGCAAAUUAGGCCAAAAUCUGAAAGUUGUGUGUUACAUGUUUGUCAGUCUGAAACAACAUACACACUUCCGUAAGGUUUUAUAAAGCCAGUUAUUAAUAGGCAAUAUAAAAAGCAAGAUCCUUGAUUUUUCUUUGUUUUUUUUAAUUGUGUGUAAACUCUACUGUAAAACAUAUUACCCGUACCUGCAGAUAUUGAUUAUUAAAAGGCAAAAUUUGUCACCAUUUGUCCGAUUUGGCCUUUUUGAGUGAUGGGGAAUACUAUUGUUUAGUCUGGUAAAUGACUGCACCAAAACUGAAACUUUUCUAUCUUUGAUAAAUAUUCUGUGAUUUUAGUAAGUUAGUGCUUUCAUCAUGUUCAGAGGCAACAUUAAGACCAUUUUGAGGAUUAAUAUACUUAUUGUAUUAAUACCACCAAUUGAAAAUUUCAAGCAGAAGGCAAAGUGUUCAAAAAUUGUUCCAUGCUACCUUUUUUUUCCCCUCUUUAUAUUUUUGCAUUUUACUAUAAACUGGUUUUCCCACCAUCCAUCUAGUUCUAGACAAAAUUUUCCUACAAGUAAUUCUGCCAACUUUUACUGUCAGAAUGAAGGUGCCUUGAUUAUCAAAGUGUUUAAACAGUUUUAAUCAAAUAUUUAAUAAUCCAUGCACCCUUUUCAUUUGUUCUUCUAUCUCAAGAUAAUGGGACUAUGGUAUUGAAAUACCUUGUAUCACGUGUUUUGUUCUGAAACCCAGUAGUAAUCUAUAAUAUCAAGUUCCCCACAGAAUAACAAUCAUAUCAGCCUGCACAUGGAGGAUGUUUUAGGAUUUUUUUACAGACUAUGACUCCCAUACCCCAUCUACAUUUUCCCUUGAUCUCUCUAUAUAAGUCUCAUUGAUGUUAAGGAAUUGUAUAUAGAUUAUAGAAAGGAAACACCUACUUGUGCAUUAUAAUUGGUGAAAAAAUCUCUUUGCUUCUUUUGUACUUUUUUAGUCUAUGUGAAAGUCAUUUUCAUACUGAAGUUUGUCAUUCUACAUAUUAAACCAAAAAUUGAGAAUUUUAUUUUACCAUACAAGUUUAAAAAAAUAAUUCUGUGUUUUACCUAUUUCAUUUUUUAGCAAAAAAAAUAAUUCAGUGCUAAAGAUCCAUAUCCUUCAACACUUUCUGUCUUUUUCUGUCUUUUUCUCCUCCCUAUCUCUUCUAUUGCUCCUUCUCUUUUUCUUCUUCUUGUCUAUCCUAAGAUCUAAACUUCAAUAUUUACGUGUUCUCACAAAUUUCUUAGUGUGCAAGUUCAUGAACCUGAGCGGAGUUUUUGUAUGCAUGUUCAAAGUGAGUUGUACCUUAUAUUAUUGUGUUGUUGUACCAACAUAAAUCUGAUGUUUUUAUGCUAAAAAUAUUGAAAGGGACAUUCAAGCCUAAGUGUAAAAAUAUGCCUCUGUUCUAGAAGUUUAUUAAAUCUUGAACCUUUCAGAUGCAUUGUUGUCGCUGUGAUUAAUUAGCAUACUGUUUGCUGUUAGAUACAUAAAAAAAAAACCACUUGUCAAUUACACUGUGAUCAAAGGCUUACUGUAAUUGUUCAGUGUUUAAUUUCCGGUUGUAAUGGAAUUCUCCUUUCUUUUGAAAAAUCAAGCCAUAAAACGUCUGUUCGUGUGAAUGUCCCAUUAAAUAUUGGUAUGACCGAAUGUUGAGAAUUUCCAGCACAGGACGAGAUUACAAAUCCUUCCACCAAUGUGUUCAAGGUGUGAAUAUUAGUUUUAUUAAUGUUUAGUUCGGACUUUUAAUACUUUGCAUGUGGUAAAAUUUGUUAAAAAAAAGAUCAACUUCAUAAUUUAGCAACAUGACCUUAUGUAAAAAGUUCACUAACCAUUAUCAUACUUCUUGGAAAAUCAAGAAAUAAAGUGUGCAUUCCAUUCAAUGUGUAUUGAGAGUGUGACUGAAUACUAACCCAUGGGUAGCUAUCAACUGGGUUGCUAAUUAACUCAUGGGUAUCGAGGCUCGUCAAGCGUUGUGAAAUCUAUGUGUAAAAUGCAUUGCUGGCAUUUAACAAGAGUUUCAUAUUAUAUAUAAUCAUUGGUGAAUUAAUUAUGGACGGUAUGUGGGGCAUCAUUAUAAUGUCUUGUAUGUUGAUUGUGUUUGAAUGGCACAGUGUGUUUGUGUAUGGAAAAGAAUGUAUCAUGCAAUAUUUCAAUUUGUGAUCACUUAAUUGUGUAUUUAUACUGGUAAUUAGAUCACUUGUGAUGAAAAAUAAAUAAAUUAAAAAA
RNAcentral lists this long non-coding RNA (2940 nucleotides) under Mizuhopecten yessoensis (Yesso scallop). Its description in RNAcentral is "uncharacterized LOC110444566". The record is from RNAcentral. Lineage: Eukaryota; Metazoa; Mollusca; Bivalvia; Pectinida; Pectinidae.